Molecule: small nucleolar RNA, 90 nt
Filed under: Leersia perrieri
Lineage: Eukaryota; Viridiplantae; Streptophyta; Magnoliopsida; Poales; Poaceae
Description: snoRNA snoZ266
Rfam family: Small nucleolar RNA Z266
About the family: Z266 is a member of the C/D class of snoRNA which contain the C (UGAUGA) and D (CUGA) box motifs. Most of the members of the box C/D family function in directing site-specific 2'-O-methylation of substrate RNAs.
Source: Rfam by way of RNAcentral
AUUUGGCGGGAGUGAUGAAUCAAUUAGAUGUGCGAAGUCUCCUUAUGAGCUUAAACUUUUGAGGCAUACAUUCUGUCUGACCUGCCAGUC